Cyprinus carpio (common carp) is the source of this 1234-nucleotide long non-coding RNA. The record is from Ensembl. NCBI's taxonomy places the organism in Eukaryota, Metazoa, Chordata, Actinopteri, Cypriniformes, Cyprinidae.
AUAACAAUGCUGUUCUUUUACUUUACAGUCAUGGCACUUCUUACAGAUACUGUUCUUGCAAAUGCAAUAACAUCCCGCUCUACUAAACAGCAUGUUUUAGAAGGAGGAAACAUUACUAUUUCUUGCAACUACAGUGGAAGCAAUAUUAACAGUCUUCAGUGGUACAGACAGUCUUCCAACACUGCACCUGAAUUUAUCUUGCAAGCUUUUGAAAGUGCGGGAGCACAGCAGAAGGAUCGUUAUGUUGCUAAAGUUCAAAUGAAUGAAAAACAACUACAUCUGGAGAUCUCCAAAACUGAGAUGGCAGACGCUGCAAUAUACUACUGUGCCCUGGUGCCCACAGUAACAGGAAACCCUUCAACACUGUACAAAAACCUGAGAUAUGACUCUCACAUUUGACUACAGUGCACUCUGAUCCUGGUGCUAGAUGUGAAUUAUUAUUAUUUUUUAUUUUUUUUAUUUUUUUAUGUUGCACAGAAUGAUGGGUAUUAAUAGUUAUUAAUUCAUUAAUUCAUAUUCAUGGUCAUUAACACUGAUAAAAAUGUGAUUUAAAAAAAAUCAAAGCAAAAAGAGUAAGAUUAGCCUCAGUCGUGGUAAUGAGGGUGGAGAGAGCACUGUACAUUCACUCCCCCCACCUACAAUCCCUGCCGGCUCCAGACUUGAACUCGCAAUCCAAAGGUUGCUAGUUCCGACUCUCUAACCAUUAGGCCACGACUUCCCCCUUGUAGUGCCAGCUAGUCGACCUCUUCCGCAUAUGUCCACUAGCAUCCAUAAUACCAAACGUGUGGAUCUUAUGCCUUUUCUUUAAUAUACACUGCCGGAGACUUUGAACCACAGAUCACAUUAACUGGUUUAAAGACUAAGGUAUAAGAACUAAACAACUUUCCCAUAUGGCAGAGCUUAAUAUAAAAAUGUAGAAGCAUUUUAAUCUGAGGGAGGAUGUCAGAAUUCAAAGACAUCCAGUCUGAAUGAUACUCAAGUCUCUCAGAUUCUUCUUCAAAUUUCUGCUGUCAUGAUUAUUUUUACUCUCCUCACUUUUUUUUGGAUGUGUAUGGGUAAGAUAAAGUUGUAUUUUUUCUCUUUCCAAUUAAGACCUGCUACUUUUGACUUAUUUACUACUACUUUUUACCAGUGGUUACUGUUUGAUUUAUUAAUUAGGAUUUUACUCUCCAUUACCAGGUCACACAGAGGCAGACACAAUAAAACCCUUGUCACUGAAUGAAAAUAAACGUGU